GAAGCGUAUCCUGGCCAGAACUGGGUGAAAGGCGCAGAGAAGAGGGACGCCAGAGCUCAGCCGCAGGGGACGGAAAAUCGUGGCCUGCCCCCUGCUGGCCGAAACGGCAGAGCCUUCUUGCAUCCAUGAGAUUACUACAAAGCCUAACACCACCUGUUUAAUAUUUUGAAAUUUAAAAGUGAAAACAAAAAAUAAAUAAAAGGCAAUUUCAGAUGAGAACAUAGUCGGUCUUUAGCUAUCCUCACCAAUCAGCCCAUUUCAAACACCAACAGGCAAAAGCCAAGGCAUCCCAGUUGUCACACCUCAGUCAGAACUGAAACCAGAUUAUGCAUAUAACACACUUAGCACAAUGCUUGGCCCCUAAUGAGCCCUCACUGGUAACCACAGUACUAUGUGAUUAAGAGGAAAAUAUGACUGCAUGAUUUCAAGUCAAACAAAUCAAGAUUUAGUUGAAGUUUUCCUGGAAAAAUCAAAGAUGAUAUCCAACAAAAGCACAGAUUCCUUUACAUAGCAAUUACCAUAUCAUAGUUUAUGGACGACACACUUUUUUGCUUCCAGGACUUCGUUUUGGUGAAGCAUUGGAGAGUCAAAUGCUCCUUGCAACCAGAGUCUCCUUUUAACCGAGAGAAUCCAGGAAAAGCGACAUUGGGACUCCCAGGGCUAGAUCAGAAGAAACCAUCAACUCCUGCCUUGCCUCUUAGAACCCGUGAUGCCUGAAUGCUUCCCAUGGGGACACCCCUCUCAAGACUCAGCAAUUAUGCAGUGAAAAUCCCAGGGCUUCUAGAGAGGCAAUGUACACUUUCUCUGGUUGACAGGCCCAGCAGAAUGAGCCAUUUUGGAAGUCCAAUCUUCAAAUGACUGGGGCUCUCGCCAAUAUCUGACCAAAACGAUUUGAGAGACCACAAGUAAAACCCUUAGCUGAGAUUAUCCUGCAUUACCAACCACAAAAUCAUAAGCAAAAUAAAAUGUUUUAAGUUGCUAAA
Long non-coding RNA from Microcebus murinus (gray mouse lemur), 983 nucleotides. RefSeq lists it as uncharacterized. The record is from RefSeq and is a predicted model, not a curated record. Lineage: Eukaryota; Metazoa; Chordata; Mammalia; Primates; Cheirogaleidae.